This 492-nucleotide ribosomal RNA is filed under the name uncultured bacterium. RNAcentral describes it as "partial 16S ribosomal RNA". It matches the Rfam family "Bacterial small subunit ribosomal RNA", at positions 29 to 507 of the family's 1533-position model. The record is from RNAcentral.
AGUGAACGCUGGCGGUAGGCCUAACACAUGCAAGUCGAACGGCAGCACAGUAAGAGCUUGCUCUUACGGGUGGCGAGUGGCGGACGGGUGAGGAAUACAUCGGAAUCUACUUUUUCGUGGGGGAUAACGUAGGGAAACUUACGCUAAUACCGCAUACGACCUACGGGUGAAAGCAGGGGAUCUUCGGACCUUGCGCGAUUGAAUGAGCCGAUGUCGGAUUAGCUAGUUGGCGGGGUAAAGGCCCACCAAGGCGACGAUCCGUAGCUGGUCUGAGAGGAUGACCAGCCACACUGGAACUGAGACACGGUCCAGACUCCUACGGGAGGCAGCAGUGGGGAAUAUUGGACAAUGGGCGCAAGCCUGAUCCAGCCAUACCGCGUGGGUGAAGAAGGCCUUCGGGUUGUAAAGCCCUUUUGUUGGGAAAGAAAAGCGGCAGGUUAAUACCCCGCUGUUCUGACGGUACCCAAAGAAUAAGCACCGGCUAACUUCGUG